Molecule: ribosomal RNA, 305 nt
Filed under: uncultured bacterium
Lineage: Bacteria
Description: bacterial SSU rRNA
Rfam family: Bacterial small subunit ribosomal RNA
Source: RNAcentral
CCUACGGGGCGCAGCAGUGGGGAAUAUUGGGCAAUGGGCGCAAGCCUGACCCAGCAACGCCGCGUGAAGGAAGAAGGCUUUCGGGUUGUAAACUUCUUUUAUGAGGGACGAAGGAAGUGACGGUACCUCAUGAAUAAGCCACGGCUAACUACGUGCCAGCAGCCGCGGUAAUACGUAGGAUGCGAGCGUUAUCCGGAUUUAUUGGGUUUAAAGGGUGCGUAGGCGGAAUAUCAAGUCAGCGGUAAAAAUUCGGGGCUCAACCCCGUCGUGCCGUUGAAACUGAUGUUCUUGAGUGGGCGAGAAGU